RNAcentral lists this ribosomal RNA (116 nucleotides) under Candidatus Peregrinibacteria bacterium. RNAcentral also lists the same sequence under 1 other name. Lineage: Bacteria; Candidatus Peregrinibacteriota. The record is from RNAcentral.
CUUGGUGGUUAUUGAGAAAGGGAUACACCUGAUUCCAUUCCGAACUCAGUAGUUAAGUCUUUCAUCGCUGAUGGUACUUGGGGCCUUGCCCCUGGGAGAGUAAGUCGCCGCCAAGA